This 567-nucleotide long non-coding RNA is filed under the name Gallus gallus (chicken). Its description in RNAcentral is "lncRNA (ENSGALG00010002531.1)". Lineage: Eukaryota; Metazoa; Chordata; Aves; Galliformes; Phasianidae. The record is from RNAcentral.
CAGCACAACCCAAACAAUUGCUCAUAAUUAAACUGAUUGGAGGAGCAGACACUGGCAGGAAAUACACUGCUGGCAGCGGUCCGAUAGCACUUCAUUGUACUGAAUUUAGAACAAUUACAUCAGUUCCUUUCAUUUUGCAGAAAAAGAGGAGGGGGGGCUGCUUUUUUAUCUUCUGCUCUCUACCAGCAAAAUCGAUGUUUAUCAAAUCUUGUGAAGAUGAUUUGGACAUUUUUAAUGAACUAUGGUUCUAAGCCUUGUCUACUAGUAUUAACAGCUCCUUGGGAGCCGUAACUGUAGCUGAUGCUCCUAGCUUCCACAAAAUCAUAGGGGUUGGAGGGGACCUCUGCAGAACAUCUUACGUAACCCUCUGCUAAAACAGGUUGCCGACAGCAGGUCACCCAGCAAAGUGUCCAGCAAAGAGAGCAGUUUACAAAUAACCACGUUCAACUGUGCUUAUUUAAGAAGCAAACAAAGAAAAUAAAAUGCACUGAAGUAACGUCAUGUCUUUGGGGAAAAUCCUGUUGCAUUAUCUUCCUCUGACGCACUUAAAUGGAAGAGAAACACACC